Molecule: ribosomal RNA, 465 nt
Filed under: uncultured Klebsiella sp.
Lineage: Bacteria; Pseudomonadati; Pseudomonadota; Gammaproteobacteria; Enterobacterales; Enterobacteriaceae
Description: bacterial SSU rRNA
Rfam family: Bacterial small subunit ribosomal RNA
Source: RNAcentral
CCUACGGGAGGCAGCAGUGGGGAAUAUUGCACAAUGGGCGCAAGCCUGAUGCAGCCAUGCCGCGUGUGUGAAGAAGGCCUUCGGGUUGUAAAGCACUUUCAGCGGGGAGGAAGGCGUUAAGGUUAAUAACCUUGGCGAUUGACGUUACCCGCAGAAGAAGCACCGGCUAACUCCGUGCCAGCAGCCGCGGUAAUACGGAGGGUGCAAGCGUUAAUCGGAAUUACUGGGCGUAAAGCGCACGCAGGCGGUCUGUCAAGUCGGAUGUGAAAUCCCCGGGCUCAACCUGGGAACUGCAUUCGAAACUGGCAGGCUAGAGUCUGGUAGAGGGGGGUAGAAUUCCAGGUGUAGCGGUGAAAUGCGUAGAGAUCUGGAGGAAUACCGGUGGCGAAGGCGGCCCCCUGGACAAAGACUGACGCUCAGGUGCGAAAGCGUGGGGAGCAAACAGGAUUAGAUACCCCAGUAGUC